Molecule: ribosomal RNA, 253 nt
Filed under: uncultured bacterium
Lineage: Bacteria
Description: partial 16S ribosomal RNA
Rfam family: Bacterial small subunit ribosomal RNA
Source: RNAcentral
UACGAAGGGGGCUAGCGUUGCCCGGAAUUACUGGGCGUAAAGCGCACGUAGGCGGCUUUCUAAGUCGGGGGUGAAAUCCUGGAGCUCAACUCCAGAACUGCCUUCGAUACUGGAGAGCUCGAGUCCGGGAGAGGUGAGUGGAACUGCGAGUGUAGAGGUGAAAUUCGUAGAUAUUCGCAAGAACACCAGUGGCGAAGGCGGCUCACUGGCCCGGUACUGACGCUGAGGUGCGAAAGCGUGGGGAGCAAACAGG